This 472-nucleotide ribosomal RNA is filed under the name uncultured bacterium. Its description in RNAcentral is "bacterial SSU rRNA". It matches the Rfam family "Bacterial small subunit ribosomal RNA", at positions 355 to 825 of the family's 1533-position model. The record is from RNAcentral.
UGGGGAAUUUUGCGCAAUGGACGAAAGUCUGACGCAGCGACGCCGCGUGUGCGAUGAAGGCCUUUGGGUCGUAAAGCACUGUCGACCGGGACGAGAACUCACGGACUAAUACUUCGUGAGUCUGACGGUACUGGUAAAGGAAGCACCGGCUAACUCUGUGCCAGCAGCCGCGGUAAUACAGAGGGUGCAAACGUUGCUCGGAAUUAUUGGGCGUAAAGCGCGUGUAGGCGGCUUGUUAAGUUGGUUGUGAAAACCCAUGGCUCAACCAUGGAAGUGCGUCCAAAACUGGCAAGCUAGAGUUCUGACGAGGAUGGCGGAAUUCCCAGUGUAGAGGUGAAAUUCGUAGAUAUUGGGAGGAACACCGGUGGCGAAGGCGGCCAUCUGGGAAGAUACUGACGCUGAGACGCGAAAGCGUGGGGAGCAAACAGGAUUAGAUACCCCGGUAGUCCCUGAGCGGGCUGGCAAGGCGCAU